Pezoporus flaviventris is the source of this 649-nucleotide long non-coding RNA. RefSeq lists it as uncharacterized. The record is from RefSeq and is a predicted model, not a curated record. The transcript is spliced from 4 exons. NCBI's taxonomy places the organism in Eukaryota, Metazoa, Chordata, Aves, Psittaciformes, Psittacidae.
GAGGGAAUGCAGAGAUCUCUGAACAGGCUACCUAGAAAAUUCACUGUUGUGCACUGGAAACUGGAGAAAAGAAUGCCUGAUUCAUCACUGUGCUGCUGCUGGGCUGAGGGCAAUAUAACACCAUGGAAAUCAGCUGGGAUGAAGCUGGGAUGAAGCUACAAUAGAUCAACACAGAGAACAAGCAUUCACACCAUUGUAUUUACACUCGAUGCCCUUGUGCAUUGAAAGCAUUCCUUGCACUGCAAAGCCACAGCAUCCCACUUGUUAUUUCCUGGCCUCCCUUCUGUGACCUAUGACCGAUGAUGACCUUUAGCUGGAGAAUGUGACAUUUUGUUCUCCUCUGGCUGACAUGUGAUGCCCUCAUUAUUCAAAGGGGAAAUAUAUACACAUACAUAUAACCUGAAUUUGCUGAGCGUGUCCUACUUCAACCUGAGGAUAAGUUUAUACGACACAGUACGUAGACAUACCUGUAUUACUGGAGACAUCUCAUGCGUCUUAGCUGAGUGUUAUCCCAGAAAUAUCAGGAGAGCAUGCUGAUUCUCACAGGAUCCUUCAGCACUUCCAGAACUGCUGAGAACCUGCACCAUGCCCACCAGCUGGAACAGUAGAGGAAAAAAUCCUCAUCAUUUAGCUCAAAACUGAAUGUGCC